CUACGGGAGGCAGCAGUGGGGAAUCUUAGACAAUGGGGGAAACCCUGAUCUAGCCAUGCCGCGUGGACGAUGAAGGCCUUAGGGUUGUAAAGUCCUUUCAGCAGGGAAAAUAAUGAUGGUACCUGCAGAAGAAGCCCCGGCUAACUCCGUGCCAGCAGCCGCGGUAAUACGGAGGGGGCUAGCGUUAUUCGGAAUUACUGGGCGUAAAGCGCGCGUAGGCGGUAAAUCAAGUUGGAAGUGAAAGCCCAAGGCUUAACCUUGGAAUUGCUUUCAAGACUGAUUAACUAGAGUUUAGUAGAGGAUGGUGGAAUUCCUAGUGUAGAGGUGAAAUUCUUAGAUAUUAGGAGGAACACCGGUGGCGAAGGCGGCCAUCUGGGCUAAAACUGACGCUGAGGCGCGAAAGCGUGGGGAGCAAACAGGAUUAGAAACCCGAGUAGUCC
RNAcentral lists this ribosomal RNA (440 nucleotides) under uncultured bacterium. RNAcentral's name for it is "bacterial SSU rRNA". It matches the Rfam family "Bacterial small subunit ribosomal RNA", at positions 339 to 796 of the family's 1533-position model. The record is from RNAcentral.